RNAcentral lists this non-coding RNA (100 nucleotides) under Streptobacillus moniliformis. Its description in RNAcentral is "Guanine sequence". It matches the Rfam family "Purine riboswitch aptamer". Rfam says of the family: Riboswitches are metabolite binding domains within certain messenger RNAs that serve as precision sensors for their corresponding targets. Allosteric rearrangement of mRNA structure is mediated by ligand binding, and this results in modulation of gene expression. Lineage: Bacteria; Fusobacteriati; Fusobacteriota; Fusobacteriia; Fusobacteriales; Leptotrichiaceae. RNAcentral also lists the same sequence under 1 other name. The record is from RNAcentral.
GAUAACAUGGUUAUGAAAAAUCGUAUAUCUCCUUAUAAAUGGCAAGGAAGUUUCUACCCUAGAGCCUUAAUCUAGGACUACGAAAAUUAUAUAUUUUAGU